AUGACGUUUGAGGACAUCUUCGGCGACCUCCCUGCUCCUGACGCCGCCGCCGCCGCGGCCGUCGACGCCGUCGCCAAACCACAUCUCCAACCACAUCACCUUCAAACUCGAUCCAACAACUACAUCAAGUGGCGCAAGUUCUUCAACUAUGUCCUUCUUCAGCACCGCGUCCAGGACCACGUCCUCCACCCUCCCCCUGCCACACCCGAUCCUUCCUGGCUCGCCAUCGACCACCGCCUGCUCCUCUGGAUUCUCUUCACACUAGCCGAUCCCCUCCUCGAGCUCAUCAUGGGUGGCGCCGGCGACGCCUACACCGCCUGGACUCGCAUCCGGGACUACUUCCAGGCCAACCAGGGGGCCCAAUACCUGCAUCUCACUCGCCAAUUUCGCAACCUAAAGCAGGGCGACCUCACCGUCUCGGUGUACGCCCAGCGCCUCAAGGCGCUCGCCGACGGUCUCGUGGACACCGGCAACACCGUCCACGACCACGAUCUCAUGAUGCAGCUCCUGCACGGCCUUGACGCCCGUUUCGACACCAUCCGCACGAUCCUCGGCGACACGGUUCCCCUGCCUCCCUUCGCCGUCACUCGCUCUCGGCUGGAGCUUGUGGAGUACAACAUCAACCUCCGCGCCCCUUUGUAUUCUCAUAUUCAGCCACUCUACUCUUCAACUUGGUAUCAGUUCUCCAUGGCGUUUGAGGACAUCUUCGGCGACCUCUCUGCUCCUGACGCCGCCGCCGCCGCGGCCGUCGACGCCGUCGCCAGGUCCUCCCCUCCUCCUGCACCGCGUCCAGGACCACGUCCUCCACCCGCCCCCUGCCACACCCGAUCCUUCCUGGCUCUCCAUCAACCACCGCCUGCUCCUCUGGAUUCUCUUCACACUAGCCGAUCCCCUCCUCGAGCUCAUCAUGGGCGGCGCCGGCGACGCCUACACCGCCUGGACUUGCAUCCGGGACUACUUCCAGGCCAACCAGGGGCCCAAUACCUGCAUCUCACUCGCCAAUUUCGCAACCUAAAGCAGGGCGACCUCACCAUCUCGGAGUACGCCCGGCGCCUCAAGGCGCUCGCCGAUGGUCUCGCGGACACCGGCAACACCGUCCACGACCACGAUCUCACGAUGCAGCUCCUGCACGGCCUCGACGCCCGCUUCGACACCAUCCGCACGAUCCUCGGCGACACGGUUCCCCUGCCUCCCUUCGCCGUCACUCGCUCUCGGCUGGAGCUUGCGGAGUACAACAUCAACCUUCACGCGUCCGAGGCCGGAUCCACGGCCCUCACCGUCUCCGGCGGUCCCAGCUCCAACCCUGACCGCGGCGGCCGCGGUGAUCGUGGCGACCGCUCUGAUCGCGGUGACCGUGCUCCCCCCACUGGCCGCGGCUCUGGUGGCGCCCGUAACAAUGGUGGUGGCGAUCGUGGUCGUGGCCGUGGCCGCACCAGUGUUUGA
This 1443-nucleotide ribosomal RNA is filed under the name Triticum aestivum (bread wheat). Its description in RNAcentral is "partial small subunit ribosomal RNA". The record is from RNAcentral. Lineage: Eukaryota; Viridiplantae; Streptophyta; Magnoliopsida; Poales; Poaceae.